CAGUAGCCACGGUAAUACGGAGGGAGUUAGCGUUGUUCGGAAUUACUGGGCGUAAAGCGCACGUAGGCGGCUUUGUAAGUCAGAGGUGAAAGCCUGGAGCUCAACUCCAGGACUGCCUUUGAGACUGCAUCGCUUGAAUCCAGGAGAGGUGAGUGGAAUUCCGAGUGUAGAGGUGAAAUUCGUAGAUAUUCGGAAGAACACCAGUGGCGAAGGCGGCUCACUGGACUGGUAUUGACGCUGAGGCGCGAAAGCGUGGGGAGCAAACAGGAUUAGAUACCCGUGUAGUCCCUGUCUCUUAUAC
Molecule: ribosomal RNA, 301 nt
Filed under: uncultured bacterium
Lineage: Bacteria
Description: partial 16S ribosomal RNA
Rfam family: Bacterial small subunit ribosomal RNA
Source: RNAcentral